Molecule: transfer RNA, 72 nt
Filed under: Camelus bactrianus (Bactrian camel)
Lineage: Eukaryota; Metazoa; Chordata; Mammalia; Artiodactyla; Camelidae
Also listed under: 2 other names
Rfam family: tRNA
About the family: Transfer RNA (tRNA) molecules are approximately 80 nucleotides in length. Their secondary structure includes four short double-helical elements and three loops (D, anti-codon, and T loops).
Source: Rfam by way of RNAcentral
GAAGGUACAGCUCAGUGGUGGAGCACGUGCUUAGCACACACGAGAUCCUGGGUUCCAUCCCCCGUACCUCUA